RNAcentral lists this ribosomal RNA (497 nucleotides) under uncultured bacterium. Its description in RNAcentral is "partial 16S ribosomal RNA". It matches the Rfam family "Bacterial small subunit ribosomal RNA", at positions 28 to 507 of the family's 1533-position model. The record is from RNAcentral.
GAUGAACGCUGGCGGCGUGCCUAAUACAUGCAAGUCGAGCGAACGGACGAGAAGCUUGCUUCUCUGAUGUUAGCGGCGGACGGGUGAGUAACACGUGGAUAACCUACCUAUAAGACUGGGAUAACUUCGGGACACCGGAGCUAAUACCGGAGAAUAUUUUGAACCGCGUGGUUCAAAAGUGAAUGACGGUGUUGCUGUCUCUUAUAGAUGGUUCCGCGCUGCAUUAGCUAGUUGGUAAGGUAACGGCUUACCAAGGCAACGAUGCGUAGCCGACCUGAGAGGCGGAUAGGCCACACUGGAACGGAGACACGGUCCAGAGUCCUACGGGACGCAGCAGUCGGCAAUCGUCCGCAACAGGCGGAAGCCUGACGGAGCAACGCCGCGUCAGUGAUGAAGGUCUCCGGAUCGUAAUACUGUGUUAUUAGGGAUGAACAUAUGUGUAAGUAACUGUGCAGAUAGUGACGGUACCUAAUCAGAAAGCAACGGCUAACUACGUG